This is a long non-coding RNA of Humulus lupulus (European hop), 6792 nucleotides long. RefSeq lists it as uncharacterized. The transcript is spliced from 6 exons. The record is from RefSeq and is a predicted model, not a curated record. Lineage: Eukaryota; Viridiplantae; Streptophyta; Magnoliopsida; Rosales; Cannabaceae.
CCUAUUCUCUCUCCACAUUCUUAGCUAGCCAAACUCAUCAGCCGCCCCUCUUUCUUUCUUUCUCUGAUCUCUUCUUUCCUCUCCUCAUACCCUAUGUUUCUUUCCUUCAUACCACCAUUAUCUUCGCCAACUCCAUCUCCCCUCACCCAAAAAUAGCUAGAACCCAUUGUCCUUCCCUCACCAUCUCCGACCUCAACGAUCCUACCCGGGUCGUGAGGACCCACGUGCAAGUGUCCGAAUCACCCAGGCCCAUCUCGGCCUCCUUCGUGCGUGACCCCAAAUCCAGGUGACUCGAACCCAGACGCGACCCCAACUUAGCCCUCACCACCAUCUGACCACCCUUGCGCCACCUCACCUCGCCUGUUUUCACACCAAACCACGACCAGACCAGGAGUGAUUUCUGCCUCUCUUCUCUUCUUUUCACAUGUAUAUAUAUUUUACCCUAAUAGAGAUGGUUAAUGGCAACAAUGCCUUUGGGAAAACCAUUUGCUCAAUUUGCUACGAAGAUCUCAAGGCCAUUGUUGAAGAUCUUCAAGCUAUAUCCAUUUGCGGCCAUGUCUUCCACGAGCUAUGGUUUGUCUUGGAAUGACUAGGAAAGGACAACAAAGAGCUCAAACAGGAGUGGAGUCAUUGUAACUGAAGAGGAAGCACAAGUUGGAAUUGUUUGCCGAAUGCAGUCAUCUGACAAAAGCAAGUUUAAGGUUUGUGUAAUAUUUGGCGUUGAAUUUCAAAACAGACAAGACCUAGGGAGGCUGAAAAACAGGAAAAGUCUUCUACUCAUAUUCUAAAAUGGUAGUAGCUUGGUUUGGGUAAAAGAUUGGCCUUUGUUGAUAGCAUUCUGAGGCAUCAAUCUUUUAAAUUUUAGGACUUGUUGGAUUCACUUGUUAGAAGGCACAAAACAGAGAAGAGAAGAAUACAGUGAAGAGCAAUACACAGACGAACGAGAGAAAAUUCAGAUGAAACAACAGAAAAGUCGGAUUAGAAGAGAGAGCUUAAGUGUGGAAAUCAAGAUUUAGUAUUGAGAAAGUGUAACGCCUUGCUAAUUAGGGUCCAUUACCAGGUGUGUUUUGAAACCAGUGCUGGACUUACUAACAAGUCAUUUGGACUAAACACGUGAUUAACCACUAAGGUUUGGGUACUAAAAACUUUUGAUCAUUUCAAUAACACUUCCAUUAAGUUAAAGAUAAGUUCUUUACAUGGGAUCCCAAAAACAUUAGUUUAAAAGUCUGUUACAAAACUCAGAUACACAUUAAGUCGUCCUAAGCGGAAAAAGCUGGGCUAAACCCUAGUUCCUCUGAGCAUCUCGGCCAUGGUGGUCGAGUGGACUGCAUAUGUACAUACCACUGCUAAUACCCUCUGACUCAUGGUUGGUUGAGCUUCUCUUUACCUUUACCUGCACCACAAAGCACCUGUGAGCCAGAAGACUCAGCAAGAAAACUUAAUCAACAGUUCAGUGAAUAAAACAACCAUUAAACGGUAAUAACUGAAUCCAGUGCACUCAUUAAACCCAAUUGGAGACCAUAGAGUCACACAAGUGCAUGUCGCACUUCCUUUCAAGUUGUUGGCAUCCGAGCCAAUCAAGUGCAUGUUGCACUCCCGGUGUGGCCCAGCCAUGGUGGCCUGCACUCCACGUACAUUAUGCCAAUCUUAGCUUAUAAACUAAGUCCCUUAUACCCUUGACUUAUAAGUCAAGCCAUCACGUGCCUCCAACUUAUAAGUUGAAGCUUUGAGAUUCUUAACUAAUAAGAAUCUCCCAGAACCCAUCAAAUUCUCAACUAAUAAGUUGAUCUCCAUUUAACACCCUAGUGAUACCCUAGUUUAUAAACUAAGCCUCACAUUCAUACAAACAGUCUCAUGUUCCAUAUAGCCCACCUAACAGAUAAUCACACAAUGCAUUAUAAUACAUCCACUCAACAGUUAUAAGCAUAAUCAUAAUUAUGCACGUUACAGCAUACCUAAUCAGACAUUCACAACAUAAUCAUAAUCAUGUUCAUCACCUUAACUGCAUUCACAUAACAGGUGCAGUUUUCUUACCUUUGGUCCGUAUGCGGGUUACUAACGACAACCCUUCGAGCACGAUCCCCGAUUCAAGCCCUUAGCGAAAACCUAAUCACAACCGCGAUAAAGAAAUUCCCAUCAAUAACCGGUGAAUAACAACUUCCAGACCAACUCUUAGCCUCCGGGACAUCGAAUUCCACUUAACAAGGAAGUAGGAUCGAUCCUGAGCCCAAACGGCUAAGUUUCCAAUCUAAAAAUCCCAUUAUGGUCAAUUUUCCCCUUAAGAGCCGUGGCCCCUCCCAGCCGAGCCGCGACCCGCCUCUAAAACUAGAGGCGGCCUUCCUGGAAACCAACGCGCGCCGCGGCGUGCCCCUGAGGCGCUGCGGCCCGCCCCUGCAUCCGAGCCCUGCGAGCCUAAAAUCCCCUUCGCAGGCCGUGGCUCAUCACCACGAAGCCAGAAUUUUCUGGGUUUUUCUGCAACCGAACCUAACCAAAACUCACUAAAUUCCAUCCCAACCUUCCAAUUAAAUCCCCACAACCAAUAUACCUUUUACCAGCAAUCAAACUCAACUAAAUACUAAACUAAACUCAUCAAAAUCUCAAAACCCAAUUUCCCAAUUAACAAACAUGCAUAAACUCUAUAAUUCUAGAUACACCAACUGAAUUAACUUAAUAUCCCUCAACUAAAGAUCCUUACCUAAGCUAUAUGACUCCAGUAGCAAACCUCCUAGCAAACCCCCUGGUGUCAAGCCUUCCCUCCAAGAAAGACCCUUCAAGAUAAUCAAAUUCACAAAAAACCCAAGGGAAGAAGUGUAGUACGAGAAAGAGAAAGGAAGAGCUGCUGUGUUUCCUUUUUUCCCUGAAAUUCCUUAAACUUUUAAUGUAUAUCCCAACCAGCUAAAUUCCAAACCUAAGUGGAAAAUACCAAGUUACCCCUUACUCUUAGCUUAUACCUCAAAUAUUAAUAAGGGCAUUUUUGUCCUUUGCUUUAAAUCCCGCUAACCACGAUUUACAUCCUAUAAUUCCCGCUACUUCCAUUAUUCUCACACAAUUACCAAUAAUUUUCCAUUACCCACUAAUUCCUGGUAAUGUACUAAAUUACUAGAACACACCCCAAAUCGGGUAUUUAGACCUCGUUGUGACUUUUUCGCUAACUCGCUCAUCGGGACCGCCUCCUGUUGAGUAACCCAAAUAUAUCCACAUAAUAAUGUGGUCUCAAUCACACAAACACAUAUUCACGUUUACGCCCCUAACGGGUCAAAUUACCAACAUACCCUUCUUAUAAGAAACGGCCUCACAUACACAUAUUUAAUAUCUUUAAUAUACAAGCAUGAUUAUAUUAUAAUAUAAUUCACAUAUUAACUCAAUUAUUGCCUCCCGGCUCCCUAAUCCAGGCACUAAGCCCUAUUAGGAAAUUUGAGAUGUUACAGAAAGGUUGUGCGAGCUGGGUUUGGAAAACUAUAUUGAGAAGCACAACUGUUGGGAAAGUGCUUGCUCAAGGAUUGAGAGGAAAACACCUAUGUGAUUGAGUGUUUAAGGAGUUUGAUCCAAGAUUGUUCCGAGAAGCUCCAUUGAAGUCUUGUACUCAUAUCAUUGAUUGAAUAAAGAAGAGAUAGUGGUUCCUAAAACUGGAUUAGGUUCAAGAUCACAUUGAUCUUGUUCUGAACCAGUAUAUAUACUUGUGUUGAUUUAUGCUUUCAUAUUUUUUGUUUUCUAAUUUUUUGAUAAUUAGUCUUACUGAUUUGUGUUCUUAGAUUCAUCUCUGGUUUACCGAGGUUCAUCUGAGGUUCUUGAACUGGGAAAUUCAUUUCCAACAUUAUCAAAGCUCGGUUUCAGAUCAAAACAGGAGAAGAAAGUUCAAGAUCCUAGAGCUUCCGCAUUACAACUAAUACAGAACACAAGCUAGAAGACUAUGUCAACCAUGGGCAAGUUCGAGCUUGAGAAAUUUGAUGGUACAAAGGAUUUCUCAUUGUGGAGAGAAAGUCUUAAAUGAAUUUUGGUACACUAGAAAGUAGCCAAGAUUCUUGGAGAUCAGAAGUUGCUGGCUGAUAAGAAACCUGAAGAAAUAGCUGAGAUGGAAGAAAUGACCUAUUACACCAUAAUCAUGUACAUAUCAAAUGGAGUAUGAAGGAAAUUGACAUCAGAGACUACGACAAAGGGGUUAUGGGAUAAGAUGGAAAAAUUAUAUUUGAAGCCUUCUGUUUCUAACAAAAUUAAUUUACUUGAAAGGCUUUAUGGUUUUAGAAUAAAUCAUGUUAUGUCUUUAGAUGAAAACAUUGACAAAUUCAAUGAAAUCAUUGUAGGUUUGGCAAAUAUCGAGCACAAGGUGGAUGAGAAAAGCCAAGCAAUAAUCUUGUUGCACUCAUUACCAAUGGCAUACCAAGAAGUGAAAGCUACAAUAAAGUAUGGAAGAGAUAUCAUUUCACUAGAUGGAGUUCUUGGAGCAUUGAAGUCCAAAGACUUUGAACUUCAGUUGGAGAAAGAAUCCAAGAAGGAUGACGCUUACUUUGUUCGUGGAAGAUCAACAAAGAGAAGCUCUUCAAGAAGCCAUACACCAUUUCACUCACGUUCUAAAUAAAGAGGAAAAGAUUCAAGAACAUGUUAUCAUUGUGGGAAAAUUGGACAUAUCAAGAGAUUUUGCAAUUUGUUAAGAAAUCAACAAGGGUCCAGAUCAAACCAGGACCAAAAAAGUGUUAUAUUAUUUCAUAUAAUAUAAUGUUAGAUUAAAUAAUGUGACAAAAUGUGAUUUGUCACACCUAGUAACAUAUUAUUGAGAGUCACAAAAAUUAAACACAUGUGUGUGCUCAAAUAUGACAUAUUUUGGAGUUACAAAAUCAGUUACGAAUUUGUAACUCCCAAAUAUUACCCAAUAGUGUGUAUAUUAUAUGUUACACAUUUGAGAUUGGAUUUCACAAAGCUAUGAUGAAAUAUGGCUGUUGGAGACAUGUUUUUAAAUCCCAAUAGGUGUUUGGAGGUUACAAAAUCAUGUGGGAAAGGAUUUGGGACAUUUUGGAAAAAUGACUUUUUUGUGCUGAAAAAGGCCUGUGGCCGCGGCCACUGAAAAGUCCUAGCCGUGGCCAGUGAGACUGACAGCCUAUUUGGUUUUUCAGUUUUUUCCAAAUUGAACGGUUCUAAAAUCCCAAAUAACUCACAAAUCUCCAUUUUAAUUCCAUAAACAUCCAAUUAAACAUUGGUAACAACCAUGGGGUUGGUGGAAUUUGAAAUUCACAGGGGUAUCUCAAACUCUAUAAAUGGGAGCCUAAUGCUCACUUGUAAGAUACACCAUUUUCCAUCCACAAAGCACUUGGCUGGAAAAUACACCUUGAGGCUUGAUUAUUCCAGAAAGCAUUUCUAAAAAAUCUAUGAGAGAUCCCUUAGUGCUUGAGUUAGGGGGAAAUAAGCUUUUCGACAAAGGUUCUAAACAUUGUUCAAGUUGGUGAUCCCCAACCCUUUUCACUUAGGUUGUGUAAGUGAGAGUUCACUAUUAUUUUGUUCUUACAUUUUUUUUCUCUAUUGCUUUUUUUCUUAUUUUCAUUUUCUAUUUACUUGUAAACUUUUGUUUAGAGUUGUAAUCUUCUUUUCUUUUGUUUCAAACACCUUUCCUUUACUUGUAAUCUUUUGUUUAGAGUUGUAUCUUUCACCAUUCUCUUCUUCUCCUCCUUCUUCUUCCUUUUCCUUGUUUGUUUGUAUUUUCAGUUAUAGAGUUGUAACACUCUUUUUAACCAUCAUCUUGUCCAUUGUAUUUUUUGCAUAGAGUUGUAACAUUUCUUACCAUUUCCAUUGAAAUAAAAUAUAUUCUCUAACAAUCAAAAGUUUAAUUUCCUUUUUUCAAUGGAAGGUGAGACCAUCAAGAUCAUGAACCAAGACCUAGUCAGGUUUGAUGGAUCUAAUUUCACUAGGCGGCAAGACAAGGUGAAAUUCCUUUUGACAACACUCAAGAUAGCCUACAUCCUUGAGUCAUCCUUGGCACCUCUAGCCAAGCCAUCCAACAAAGACACUCCCAAGGAGGUGGAGAAAAGAAGAAAGAGAGAAGAGGACAACCUUCUUUGUAGGAGUUAUAUCCUUAAUUCCCUAUCCGAUAGGCUAUAUGACCUCUAUACCAAUACCAAACCCGCGAAUGAGAUUUGGGAUGCUUUGGAGAGUAAGUACAAGGCUGAGGAAGAAGGUACAAGAAAGUUCCUAAUUUCUCAAUAUUUUGAAUUUUCUUUCAUUGAUGGGAAUACUCUUUUACCUCAAAUUAUUGAGUUACAAGUGAUUGUAAACAAGUUGAAAGUUCUUAAGAUUGAGCUUCCCGAGGCCUUUCAAGUUGGUGCAAUAAUGGCAAAAUUACCACUAACUUGGAGGAGCUAUAGGAAAAGAGUUCUCCAUAAGAAUGAGAAUUACACUUUGGAAGAGAUCCAAAAACACAUUAGAAAUGAAGAGGAAUCGAGAAUAAGUGACAAGGGUGUGAAUGAGUCUAAAGAUGAGACUUCCAAGGCCAAUGCGGUUUCACGCAAGCAUCCAAAGGGCAACAACAACAACAAAAAGGGUAGUGGGAACCCUUUAGGUCCAAAGAAAGAUCAUGGACAAUUCAAAGAUGUGAGACGUCAUUGUUUUGUUUGUGGAAAACCCGGGCCCAAUGCUAGAGUAUGUAGGUACCGAAAUGACCCACAUUAGAAUGAGGUAAAUGCUAUAGAAAAGGAAGAAGAGAUCCUAGCAUGAUUACCAUGUUCAUGUUCCUUGUUGGGAAAAUUUUUAUUUUUUAAUAAAGUUUGUACUCUUGAAAGCUAUCAAUAAAAUUAAAGUAUUAUUCUA